AAAGGUCUGGGCUACCGGCGCGGCGUAGUGGAUGCAGCAUCCUAGUUGAGGACGCCCCGCUGUUGCUGAACCUGUUUGCUUGAGUUGCUCCUGACGGCCCUUUAGGAUACUUCCGUGUCUGUAGGGUCUACAGUGACAUCUCCUCCCCUCCCCUGACGAGAUCUGCCCUCCUUGGCACUGUGCUUCCCCAGAGGGGUGGCCUCGCUGUUCCCAUGGACAUGGCCCAGGAGCCAGUGACCUUCAGGGACGUGGCCAUCUACUUCUCAAGGGAGGAGUGGGCGUGUCUGGAACCCAGCCAGAGGACCCUCUACCGGGACGUGAUGCUGGACAACUUCAGCAGUGUGGCUGCUCUGGGUGAGCGCGGGCUGAGCGCUGCGUGAGCACAGGGUGAGUGCUGGGAGAGCUCUGCCGCUGCCUCUGGGCCCGGCUCGUCCAGGACAGUAGUGGGGCCUCCCAGCCGAGGGGGCUCAGGAGCUAGAAGUUAUUGGCUUAUGUAGACAGAGGGGCCCACUCAGCGUUUCUCUCGGGCUCCCUGGAGGCAGCCUCAU
RNAcentral lists this small RNA (548 nucleotides) under Pan troglodytes (chimpanzee). RNAcentral describes it as "retained intron". The record is from RNAcentral. Lineage: Eukaryota; Metazoa; Chordata; Mammalia; Primates; Hominidae.